RNAcentral lists this ribosomal RNA (333 nucleotides) under uncultured eukaryote. RNAcentral's name for it is "SSU rRNA". It matches the Rfam family "Eukaryotic small subunit ribosomal RNA", at positions 1471 to 1801 of the family's 1831-position model. The record is from RNAcentral.
CCUUAGAUGUUCUGGGCCGCACGCGCGCUACACUGAUCAAGUCAACGAGUUUACAACCUUGGCCGGAAGGUCUGGGUAAUCUUUUGAAACUUGAUCGUGCUGGGGAUAGUCCAUUGCAAUUAUUGGACUUCAACGAGGAAUUCCUAGUAAGCGUGAGUCAUCAGCUCGCGUUGAUUACGUCCCUGCCCUUUGUACACACCGCCCGUCGCUACUACCGAUUGAAUGGCUUAGUGAGGCUUUCGGAUUGGACUUUGGCAGCUGGCAACAGCAGCUAGGGACUGAAAAGUCAUCCAAACUUGGUCAUUUAGAGGAAGUAAAAGUCGUAACAAGGUU